UCGUGUGAGCUUAUUUCAUGGAUUCCAAAAUAUUAUAGGUAUAGAAAAGUUGUUGUACUUGUUGAGUUUUAUUAGUGGUAAAAUUAACACACACACCCCGUGUAUUCUGAUAUGUGUGAGUUCUAUCUAGUUCUCGCCGCGUCAAGGACAGAUCAAAGCAAUCAGCUGUAGCGGUGGUUGUGAUUAUUGUUAAGUAUUAUGCUAUAUUCUGUGGUAUUUUGUGAUUUACGUAUUGACUUUUUAAAGUGAACAAUUCGAUCUUAAUUAUAUUUACGAAGUGAUCUUUUUGGUUUGACAGUAUUUCUACGUUUCAAGUGAACUUUCUAACGAUUCGUUUGAGGUUAUGUGUUUACACAUGGUGCGGAGCCGGGCCGAUUAAAGGCAUUGGCAGUAUUGGCACACAAAAAAAGAAGUUUGUCUUCAUGCGGUCGAAAAUUGCGAAUUUGUGUGUGGUUGCAAUUGAAACAGAGAACCCAUGAGAACCCUAGAACCAGUGUUGCCGCUAGGGUUGCCAAGUCGCCAGCGUCCGAUUACCGAACACUAAAUAAUAAUAAAAAUAAUACCCCUGACAUGCGACAGUUUGUCGCUUUUGCGUCAACCCAAGCUGAGAAAUAUUUUUUGUUUAUAAUUAAUAUUAUCUAUAUUAUUAAUUAAGUGAAAUCAUUAUUCAAAAGUUUUAUUUGAAACUUCAACAAUAUAAAUAAGUGCAUGUUUGUACAACAAAACAUUUAUUAUAUAACAUAAUAACAUUUAUUAAACCAACAAACAAUAAUACGCUCACAACUAACUUAACAUCAAAUAACAAAACAGAAUAAGACUAUUAAUAUGAAAACAAAAAUAUACAUAUUACUUAUUUCAAAAUAUGUACUUUUUUUGUUUUUUUUGCGGCACUCAGUACAGUUGGAUACUUUUUAAUGAAAUCUGCGAAUCCCGUGCAAUUCAUAUCAAAAUUUAGUUUUGUUUGCAACUCUGCUUUUACUGUGUCUGUUCGCAGACGAUUGCGCUCGUCUGUUCAUAUAUUUCCCAUGAUUGAAAAUACCCUUUCACAAUAAGCAUUACUGAUUGGUAUGGAAUAAACAAAUUGCACAAUAAUCUUUAAUAAAUUUGGAAAAUUACCGCAAGCAAAAAGUUCCAUCCACUUCUCAACCGCUGAUUUAUUCAUUGCUACUAAUUUAGGCAAUUUUUUUUCAAAAUUCCAAACUCAUUAUGGAGUUUAUCUACGUCAAUAUGAUCCGCCAACUUUAAACUCUCCACACAAUUUUCAAGAGUAUGCCACUCAAAUUCAGAACGUAGAUUAAACAUUUUUAGUAGCUUGAAUGGCGAAUUUUCUAAACUAAAAUAUUUUUGAAUAUAUGUGGUUGCUCUGUCACAGAAUUCACCAAAUUCGGAGUUUAUUUUAUUUAUCUUAGUGGCAUUACUUAGACGCCUCAAUGCAGCAUUGGCUUUAUACCCAUAAAAAUUGUCCUGGCGUUUUUGCUUCAAAUUAACAAUAAGAUUUUCAAUAAUCUCAUACAGCUCAGGAGAAGCGCAGGUUUUAUUCUCUAAAGCUAACACCACAUUGUGGAAUAAACUACUAAUAUGAUGCACAAAAUACAAAUAAAUUUCCGGAAUAGAAAAAUUAUUCUCACUUGGGUCAGAUUCUGCAUCAUCGAUUACAAAUUUCCGUAUUAGCUUAUCGCAAUUAUCUUCACCUUGGCUGAGAAAGUAAGAUUUUAAGGCAGGCCAUUUUUCCGUUAUCCGACAAAUUGCUUAAUAUAUCGAUAACCACCGUGUUGGGACAUGACGAAGAAUCUGAGCCUAUUCAAUCUCUACAAACUCACAAAAAUCUUUGAGCGACUCAGCAUUUGUUGCAGAAGAAGAAAAUUCAUUAUAAAUCUUAAUUAUCAAAGUUUCCACAUCCAUUGAAAGAACCUUUGCCGCAAACUUAGCAGCAUUAUUAAUUACAUGGCAAUUGCAAUUGGCCGAAAUCAAACCAGGAACAUCAUUUUUUAAGUGAAUAAAAACCGAAUUAUGUUUUCCGUAAUUUACAGAAGCAUUAUCUGCAGCAUAAGAUGAUAUUUUGUCAAUACGUAGAUUACAUUUUUGAAGAAUCAUUUUGAUUUUGUGGUAAAUUGCCUGUGAAGUUUCAUUAGCAUCUUCAUAGAAAUCCAAAAUUCGCUCUUUUAUACCGACACGCACAUCAAAGUAACGAAUGCAAAGCGGAAAUAAUUUCCUAUUGCCUUUAUUAGAAGCAUCACUGGCAAUAGAAAAAAAGCUAGAAGUUUCUAAAUCUUCUAGUACUAGCUGUACAGAGAAUGGUGCAAGAACAUUUUCACAAAUUGCGGCACAUUUAGUUCUUCCACAAGACAUCUUUCUGAAUAUUUCAGAAUCUGAAAAUACUUUUUUGUUAACUUUUGAACCGCAAUCUAUUGAUAAAUAUGAAUGAUGAUGUAUGCCAUGAAACGUCUUAGUAAGUUCAGCUAUAGUGGUGUUCGUGUCUACGGAAGUUCCCGGUUGUCUUAGAAAUGAAUCCACAAAUUUAUUAGCUUUUUCUGCUCUUUCUUUAUUUUGAUGUCCCUGUGAGGUAUGGUGUUUUUUAACUGCAGUUAUGCCGUCCCAUUUUAUGGUAAACGAGGUACCGCAAAUUUUACAUUUUGCUAAUUCAUCAGAAUUAAGGUCCUUUGUCAGCCACUUAUAAGAGUCUUCCCAUGCUUUACUAUGACCAGUCUUUUGCGACUGCCGACCUCGGGUUGCUAAAAUCGAACAGUUUUUAAGAAUUAAUAAAUAAUUAACAUUAAGCAAACUCAAACCUUUGCCAUUUUUACACUUUUAGAAAUAAAUAUACGCAGUUGCAGUGUGAUCUAAUAACACUUGUCAAAAAGGAAACUUUCGGCAUUGCUGCAAUUCCGCAUAGCAUUGGGUAAAGUUAACAGAUGGCGCGCGAAAACAAAAUUAUCAAAAAUACAACCUAUUUGCAAAAAUUACCGAACAAAUUGUUGUUCAGUUUGUCCUUCGUUCCGGGCACGAACAAUAAAGUAAAUUACCGAACAGUCCGGACGAAGUCAGGACGGUUGGCAACCCUAUUAUGAGUAGUAUCGAGUAAUGACACUAAUGACUAGUUAGAUUAAAGACAUUGGCAGUGAUGGCACACAAAAAAACAAAUUUGUCUUCAAACGGUCGAAAAUUGCGACUUUGUGUGUGGUUAGUAAAAAUAUUUUUCUCAUUUUUAUAUUAUUUAUUGUAUGUAUAUUUUAAUGGAAUUUGUGCGAAACUGUCAAAAAAAACGGCACUUUAUUUUCUUGAUUUUGAGGUGUGAAAUAGCACAUUUGUUUAUAGUAAAAUAAAGCGUUGACAACGUAAAGGGUCAUAAUCUUGAAUGAAAUUAGCUUUUAUUAGAUAUUUCGAACGUUGUUUAUAAAUAUGCAAUAACAAAUAUAAGACAGUGCCAAGAAAAUAAUUAUUUGAACAUUUCUACCAGCAUUAAAUCUAAAAUAUAAUUGACUUAAUCCUUUUAUACAGGCUGCUCAAAAAGU
This is a long non-coding RNA of Tribolium castaneum (red flour beetle), 3512 nucleotides long. RefSeq lists it as uncharacterized. NCBI's taxonomy places the organism in Eukaryota, Metazoa, Arthropoda, Insecta, Coleoptera, Tenebrionidae. The transcript is spliced from 2 exons. The record is from RefSeq and is a predicted model, not a curated record.